GUGAAUCAUCGAAUCUUUGAACGCAAAUCGCACUCUCCGGUUUUCCGGGAGAGUAUGCCUUUUGGAGGUCCAGCCUAAAAUAAUCGACAUUGUUGCUGUUUUAUGUUGACUUUCGUCGGAGAUGGGAUAUCUUAAAUCUCGGUUUAAGCGACUUAAAAGUUUGUUUUUACGAUUCUAAGACUGUUUCUAAGAUUUUUCUUGUACGUUUAAGGCAUCGAGUGUCUUAUUAGGCGUGUCCGUCAUAUCGGUUCGUGUCCAUAAUUUUUUUCGAUAAC
Molecule: unclassified non-coding RNA, 275 nt
Filed under: Glomus sp.
Lineage: Eukaryota; Fungi; Glomeromycota; Glomeromycetes; Glomerales; Glomeraceae
Description: partial contains 5.8S ribosomal RNA and internal transcribed spacer 2
Rfam family: 5.8S ribosomal RNA (bases 1-72)
Source: RNAcentral